RNAcentral lists this microRNA precursor (58 nucleotides) under Heligmosomoides polygyrus. RNAcentral describes it as "microRNA hpo-mir-10098a precursor". The record is from miRBase by way of RNAcentral. Lineage: Eukaryota; Metazoa; Nematoda; Chromadorea; Rhabditida; Heligmosomidae.
GGCGUGUCCACGAUCCAGUGCUGACCUUUAGGAACAGCCAUGGCUCGGCACCGCUAGA